Manis javanica (Malayan pangolin) is the source of this 106-nucleotide small nuclear RNA. The record is from RefSeq and is a predicted model, not a curated record. Lineage: Eukaryota; Metazoa; Chordata; Mammalia; Pholidota; Manidae.
GUGCUCACUUCAGCAGCAUACACACUAAAAUUAAAACAUAGAGAGAAGAUUAGCAUGGCUGCUGUGUGAGGAUGACAUGCAGAUUCCUGAAGUGUUCCAUAUUUUU